UUAAGCGACUAAGCGUACACGGUGGAUGCCCUGGCAGUCAGAGGCGAUGAAGGGCGUGCUAAUCUGCGAUAAGCGCCGGUAAGGUGAUAUGAACCGUUAUAACCGGCGAUACCCGAAUGGGGAAACCCAGUGUGAUUCGUCACACUAUCAUUAACUGAAUCCAUAGGUUAAUGAGGCGAACCGGGGGAACUGAAACAUCUAAGUACCCCGAGGAAAAGAAAUCAACCGAGAUUCCCCCAGUAGCGGCGAGCGAACGGGGAGGAGCCCAGAGCCUGAAUCAGCAUGUGUGUUAGUGGAAGCGUCUGGAAAGGUGCGCGAUACAGGGUGACAGCCCCGUACACAAAAGCGCAUGUGCUGUGAGCUCGAUGAGUAGGGCGGGACACGUGGUAUCCUGUCUGAAUAUGGGGGGACCAUCCUCCAAGGCUAAAUACUCCUGACUGACCGAUAGUGAACCAGUACCGUGAGGGAAAGGCGAAAAGAACCCCGGCGAGGGGAGUGAAAAAGAACCUGAAACCGUGUACGUACAAGCAGUGGGAGCACAGGUUUACCUGUGUGACUGCGUACCUUUUGUAUAAUGGGUCAGCGACUUAUAUUCUGUAGCAAGGUUAACCGAAUAGGGGAGCCGGAGGGAAACCGAGUCUUAAUUGGGCGUUAAGUUGCAGGGUAUAGACCCGAAACCCGGUGAUCUAGCCAUGGGCAGGUUGAAGGUUGGGUAACACUAACUGGAGGACCGAACCGACUAAUGUUGAAAAAUUAGCGGAUGACCUGUGGCUGGGGGUGAAAGGCCAAUCAAACCGGGAGAUAGCUGGUUCUCCCCGAAAGCUAUUUAGGUAGCGCCUCGUGAAUUCAUCUCCGGGGGUAGAGCACUGUUUCGGCUAGGGGGCCAUCCCGGCUUACCAACCCGAUGCAAACUGCGAAUACCGGAGAAUGUUAUCACGGGAGACACACGGCGGGUGCUAACGUCCGUCGUGAAGAGGGAAACAACCCAGACCGCCAGCUAAGGUCCCAAAGUCAUGGUUAAGUGGGAAACGAUGUGGGAAGGCCCAGACAGCCAGGAUGUUGGCUUAGAAGCAGCCAUCAUUUAAAGAAAGCGUAAUAGCUCACUGGUCGAGUCGGCCUGCGCGGAAGAUGUAACGGGGCUAAACCAUGCACCGAAGCUGCGGCAGCGAACGUAUCACUUAAAGCGAUUCAGCGGGUUACGAUUGACGGAGCGAAGCGACGUCAAAGCGUAUACAAAGUCGAGUCGGUUUAAGGAUACGUUCGUUGGGUAGGGGAGCGUUCUGUAAGCCCGUGAAGGUGGCCUGUGAGGGUUGCUGGAGGUAUCAGAAGUGCGAAUGCUGACAUAAGUAACGAUAAAGCGGGUGAAAAGCCCGCUCGCCGGAAGACCAAGGGUUCCUGUCCAACGUUAAUCGGGGCAGGGUGAGUCGACCCCUAAGGCGAGGCCGAAAGGCGUAGUCGAUGGGAAACGGGUUAAUAUUCCCGUACUUGGUGUUACUGCGAAGGGGGGACGGAGAAGGCUAUGUUGGCCGGGCGACGGUUGUCCCGGUUUAAGCGUGUAGGUGUGUGUUCCAGGUAAAUCCGGUUCACUUUAACACUGAGGCGUGACGACGAGGCACUACGGUGCUGAAGCAACAAAUGCCCUGCUUCCAGGAAAAGCCUCUAAGCAUCAGGUAACACGAAAUCGUACCCCAAACCGACACAGGUGGUCAGGUAGAGAAUACCAAGGCGCUUGAGAGAACUCGGGUGAAGGAACUAGGCAAAAUGGUGCCGUAACUUCGGGAGAAGGCACGCUGACACGUAGGUGAAGUGAUUUACUCAUGGAGCUGAAGUCAGUCGAAGAUACCAGCUGGCUGCAACUGUUUAUUAAAAACACAGCACUGUGCAAACACGAAAGUGGACGUAUACGGUGUGACGCCUGCCCGGUGCCGGAAGGUUAAUUGAUGGGGUCAGCGUAAGCGAAGCUCCUGAUCGAAGCCCCGGUAAACGGCGGCCGUAACUAUAACGGUCCUAAGGUAGCGAAAUUCCUUGUCGGGUAAGUUCCGACCUGCACGAAUGGCGUAAUGAUGGCCAGGCUGUCUCCACCCGAGACUCAGUGAAAUUGAACUCGCUGUGAAGAUGCAGUGUACCCGCGGCAAGACGGAAAGACCCCGUGAACCUUUACUAUAGCUUGACACUGAACAUUGAGCCUUGAUGUGUAGGAUAGGUGGGAGGCUUUGAAGUGUGGACGCCAGUCUGCAUGGAGCCGACCUUGAAAUACCACCCUUUAAUGUUUGAUGUUCUAACGUGGACCCGUAAUCCGGGUUGCGGACAGUGUCUGGUGGGUAGUUUGACUGGGGCGGUCUCCUCCUAAAGAGUAACGGAGGAGCACGAAGGUUGGCUAAUCCUGGUCGGACAUCAGGAGGUUAGUGCAAUGGCAUAAGCCAGCUUGACUGCGAGCGUGACGGCGCGAGCAGGUGCGAAAGCAGGUCAUAGUGAUCCGGUGGUUCUGAAUGGAAGGGCCAUCGCUCAACGGAUAAAAGGUACUCCGGGGAUAACAGGCUGAUACCGCCCAAGAGUUCAUAUCGACGGCGGUGUUUGGCACCUCGAUGUCGGCUCAUCACAUCCUGGGGCUGAAGUAGGUCCCAAGGGUAUGGCUGUUCGCCAUUUAAAGUGGUACGCGAGCUGGGUUUAGAACGUCGUGAGACAGUUCGGUCCCUAUCUGCCGUGGGCGCUGGAGAACUGAGGGGGGCUGCUCCUAGUACGAGAGGACCGGAGUGGACGCAUCACUGGUGUUCGGGUUGUCAUGCCAAUGGCACUGCCCGGUAGCUAAAUGCGGAAGAGAUAAGUGCUGAAAGCAUCUAAGCACGAAACUUGCCCCGAGAUGAGUUCUCCCUGAGACUUAGAGUCUCCUGAAGGAACGUUGAAGACGACGACGUUGAUAGGCCGGGUGUGUAAGCGCAGCGAUGCGUUGAGCUAACCGGUACUAAUGAACCGUGAGGCUUAACCUU
RNAcentral lists this ribosomal RNA (2987 nucleotides) under Salmonella enterica subsp. enterica serovar Typhimurium. RNAcentral's name for it is "bacterial LSU rRNA". It matches the Rfam family "Bacterial large subunit ribosomal RNA". The record is from RNAcentral. Lineage: Bacteria; Pseudomonadati; Pseudomonadota; Gammaproteobacteria; Enterobacterales; Enterobacteriaceae.